RNAcentral lists this non-coding RNA (527 nucleotides) under Pongo abelii (Sumatran orangutan). Lineage: Eukaryota; Metazoa; Chordata; Mammalia; Primates; Hominidae. The record is from RNAcentral.
AAGGCGCGGUUUGCAUCCUUGCAGGCUGUAGGCGCAUGAUGUUACAAGUUAUUGGAAGAAAUCCCUCCAACCUAGGUUGGGACAGAUGAAGGCGGCGCUUAUUGGUGUCCACCAAAACACCAGCAUGGUGUACCAGCUUUGGCUAGAUUAUGCUCGGGAAAACACAGAUCCUGGUGCCGAACAUGAGGACAAGACAGGCCGAAGGAGAAAGUGGAAGGAGGGGAUCUUCUCUCUCAGCCUCAUCCUCCUGGGCCUGGAUGCUGGAGAGUCAUGAGGUGCUUCAGAGUACUCUGGGUGAGGAGGGAAAGAUGGUGCCCACCACAUGGAGGCCAGCCUAGGUCUUGUAUGAAACCCGUGAGCUAGCUGGAAGCAGAGAACCCAGCAGAGGAUUCUGGGAAGGUCCUGGGGGAUGGCAGAGCCAGCAGAGAGAGGGUACGGAUCCACCAGGCAUAGGGUGGAACAGAGCGCUACUGACCACAGUGAACUGGGGCAUGGGCGAUCAAUAAACAUAUAUUAGAUUAAGCUAU